UACGGAGGAUGCGAGCGUUAUCCGGAUUUAUUGGGUUUAAAGGGUGCGUAGGCGGGUUAUCAAGUCAGCGGUCAAAGCCCGGGGCUCAACCCCGGCCCGCCGUUGAAACUGGCAGUCUCGAGUUGGAGAGAAGUAUGCGGAAUGCGCGGUGUAGCGGUGAAAUGCAUAGAUAUCGCGCAGAACUCCGAUUGCGAAGGCAUCUGACGAAUCGGAGAUUGACGCUGAUGCACGAAAGCGUGGGUAUCGAACAGG
RNAcentral lists this ribosomal RNA (252 nucleotides) under uncultured Bacteroidales bacterium. Its description in RNAcentral is "partial 16S ribosomal RNA". It matches the Rfam family "Bacterial small subunit ribosomal RNA", at positions 524 to 776 of the family's 1533-position model. Lineage: Bacteria; Pseudomonadati; Bacteroidota; Bacteroidia; Bacteroidales. The record is from RNAcentral.